GACGAACGCUGGCGGCGUGCCUAAUACAUGCAAGUCGAACGCACUCUCGUUUAGAUUGAAGGAGCUUGCUCCUGAUUGAUAAACAUUUGAGUGAGUGGCGGACGGGUGAGUAACACGUGGGUAACCUGCCCUAAAGUGGGGGAUAACAUUUGGAAACAGAUGCUAAUACCGCAUAAAACCUAACACCGCAUGGUGUAGGGUUGAAAGAUGGUUUCGGCUAUCACUUUAGGAUGGACCCGCGGUGCAUUAGUUAGUUGGUGAGGUAAAGGCUCACCAAGACCGUGAUGCAUAGCCGACCUGAGAGGGUAAUCGGCCACACUGGGACUGAGACACGGCCCAGACUCCUACGGGAGGCAGCAGUAGGGAAUCUUCCACAAUGGACGAAAGUCUGAUGGAGCAACGCCGCGUGAGUGAAGAAGGUUUCGGAUCGUAAAACUCUAGUUGUUGGAGAAGAAUGUAUCUGAUAGUAACUGAUCAGGUAGUGACGGUAUCCAACCGGAAGCCA
This 505-nucleotide ribosomal RNA is filed under the name uncultured bacterium. Its description in RNAcentral is "bacterial SSU rRNA". It matches the Rfam family "Bacterial small subunit ribosomal RNA", at positions 28 to 493 of the family's 1533-position model. The record is from RNAcentral.